This 400-nucleotide ribosomal RNA is filed under the name phytoplankton environmental sample. Its description in RNAcentral is "partial small subunit ribosomal RNA". It matches the Rfam family "Eukaryotic small subunit ribosomal RNA", at positions 587 to 994 of the family's 1831-position model. The record is from RNAcentral.
AGCUCCAAUAGCGUAUAUUUAAGUUGCUGCAGUUAAAAAGCUCGUAGUUGGAUUUCGGGUGGGAAUGGCCGGUCCGCCGUUUCGGUGUGCACUUGCUACGCCCACCUUGCUGCCGGGGACGUGCUCUUGAGUUCACGCUCGGGACACGGAGUCGGCGAGGUUACUUUGAGUAAAUUAGAGUGUUCAAAGCAGGCCUACGCUCUGAAUACAUUAGCAUGGAAUAACACGAUAGGACUCUGGCCUAUCUUGUUGGUCUGUAGGACCGGAGUAAUGAUUAAGAGGGACAGUCGGGGGCAUUCGUAUUUCAUUGUCAGAGGUGAAAUUCUUGGAUUUAUGAAAGACGAACUACUGCGAAAGCAUUUGCCAAGGAUGUUUUCAUUAAUCAAGAACGAAAGUACGC